This 1516-nucleotide ribosomal RNA is filed under the name human gut metagenome. RNAcentral describes it as "bacterial LSU rRNA". It matches the Rfam family "Bacterial large subunit ribosomal RNA", at positions 445 to 1975 of the family's 2925-position model. The record is from RNAcentral.
AGCGGGGCCCAUCCCGUAAGGCUAAAUACUCCCGAGAGACCGAUAGCGAACCAGUACUGUGAAGGAAAGGUGAAAAGAACCUCGAACAGAGGAGUGAAACAGACCCUGAAACCAUGCGCCUACAAGCGGUCGGAGCAUGUUAAAAUGUGACGGCGUGCCUUUUGCAUAAUGAACCUACGAGUUACUCUCGCUGGCAAGGUUAAGCGAUUCAGUCGCGCAGCCGAAGCGAAAGCAAGUCCGAAUAAGGCGUACAGUCAGCGGGAGUAGACGCGAAACCAAGUGAUCUACCCUUGGUCAGGUUGAAGGUUGGGUAACACCAACUGGAGGACCGCACCGAUAAGCGUUGAAAAGCUUACGGAUGAACUGAGGGUAGGAGUGAAAGGCCAAUCAAACUUGGAGAUAGCUCGUACUCCCCGAAAUGCAUUUAGGUGCAGCCUCGAAGCAGAGUGAUAGAGGUAGAGCGACUGAUAAGAUGCGAGGGCUUCACCGCCUAUCAAGUCUUGACAAACUCCGAAUACUAUCACUUGAUCUUUGGGAGUGAGGGCAUGGGUGCUAAGGUCCAUGUCCGAAAGAGGAACAACUCAGACCACCAGCUAAGGUCCCGAAAUAAGGGCUAAGUUGAAUAAACGAAGUAAAACUGCAAAGACAGCUAGGAUGUUGGCUUGGAAGCAGCCAUUCAUUUAAAGAGUGCGUAACAGCUCACUAGUCGAGGAGUUUUGCAUGGAUAAUAAUCGGGCAUAAGCCCUUUACCGAAGCUGUGGAUGUCGUAAGACAUGGUAGGGGAGCAUUCCGGCGGCGACGAAGGCCGUCCUCGAGGACGACUGGAGCUUUCGGAAAAGCAAAUGUAGGUAUAAGUAACGAUAAAGGGGGCGCGAAACCCCCUCGCCAUAAGACUAAGGAUUCCUGAUCAACGCUAAUCGGAUCAGGGUAAGUCGGGCCCUAAGGCGCAGCCGAACGGCGUAGCCGAUGGAAGAAACGGUAAAGAUUCCGUUACUGGAUAUAGGAGCGAUGUGGAGACGGAGAAGUGACACACCCGCCUGCCGACGGAAGCGCAGGUUAAAGGAAGUAGGUAAACGCCGGGUAGGCAAAUCCGCCUGGCGUGCCGAAACUGACAGUAUCGAGAGCCCCCGGGCAAUCGAAUAGCGGUGGUAAUCAGGCUCCCAAGAAAAUCCGCUAAGCAUAUUCUAUAUCCACCCGUACCCCAAACGGACACACGUAGUCGGGUAGAAUAUACCAAGGCGCUCGAAAGACUCACGGUUAAGGAACUAGGCAAAUUGACCCUGUAACCUCGGGAAAAAGGGUCCCCAGUAAGAUGGGGCGCAGAGAAUAGGUCCAGGCAACUGUUUAACAAAAACACAGGGCUGUGCAAAAUUUCAAGAUGAAGUAUACAGCCUGACACCUGCCCGGUGCCGGAAGGUUAAGAGGAGAGCUUAUCGCAAGAGAAGGCUUGAAUUGAAGCCCCGGUAAACGGCGGCCGUAACUAUAACGGUCCUAAGGUAGCGAAAUUCCUUGUCGG